Molecule: ribosomal RNA, 200 nt
Filed under: uncultured bacterium
Lineage: Bacteria
Description: partial 16S ribosomal RNA
Rfam family: Bacterial small subunit ribosomal RNA
Source: RNAcentral
CAGGCUGCAACUCACCUGCAUGAAGUCGGAAUUGCUAGUAAUCGCGGAUCAGAAUGCCGCGGUGAAUACGUUCCCGGGUCUUGUACACACCGCCCGUCACACCAUGGGAGUCGGGAAUGCCCGAAGCCGGUGGCCCAAUCGAAAGAAGGGAGCCGUCGAAGGCAGGCCGGAUGACUGGGGUGAAGUCGUAACAAGGUAUC